Long non-coding RNA from Anas platyrhynchos (mallard), 810 nucleotides. RefSeq lists it as uncharacterized. NCBI's taxonomy places the organism in Eukaryota, Metazoa, Chordata, Aves, Anseriformes, Anatidae. The record is from RefSeq and is a predicted model, not a curated record.
CCACCCUUGUGAAGUGAAAUCUGCCAGGUGUGGGUCAUUUGACCUUUGCUAUAUAGGAAGCUUGAGGAGCUGUAGGGAAUUGCCUUCCUGGGGGAGUCUGAGGCUCAGGUUCUCUAGGGUGCUUUUCUGCUGUUGUGGUGAAGUGGGCUCAGUGUUCCCCCGUGGGCUGUUUUUUCUUUGUGUUUUCUGCCAUCAACGUGAAAUAGUUUUAGUGACUCUAUGAGCUAGCUAUGUUGGCAGUGCCUUCUCAGUGCAGUAGAACCCUGGUGGUGCAACUUCCCUGAACCUGAGUCACUUCCACACUGCUUCACAGAAGCUGGCAGGCCUGCGUGUCUCCGCUGCAGAGAAAGUUCUGGAAGAGGCCCACCAACUCAGAGAAUCGAUCUUCCUCCCCACCUGUAGAAACCAGUGUCUGAGCUAUCGAGGAAAGCAUCCUUCUGAGAAAGGAAGAUGCCAGAGCGGGAGCACAGCCCGUGCCACCCUGCAGUUUUGCCACCGUGACGGAGAAUGGGAGAAAAAAAUUAAUCAGACUGCAUGAACCGGGGAAUUGGAAGUGCCAGCACCAGGAAAUCCAGCAGAUUCUACCACAGCAGCACAGGUUUGAAGUUUCUGGCAAAAGGAUGUAAUAUCAUAAAUAAAUGAAGGAGAAAGAGGGAAUACUGAAAGAAGCCAAGUCUGCAUCCUGAACAUCUUAAAAUCCCUUUUUUUUUUCCUCAGAAGUGUUAUAACUCCUGAUGAAAAGAAGUGAGUGGUCACUUUGAGUACUGAAUAAUUUUCACUAAUAAAAGUAAAGAUGCUGUUUUACUCUCC